Molecule: ribosomal RNA, 540 nt
Filed under: uncultured bacterium
Lineage: Bacteria
Description: bacterial SSU rRNA
Rfam family: Bacterial small subunit ribosomal RNA
Source: RNAcentral
UGAGGAAUAUUGGUCAAUGGACGGAAGUNUGAACCAGCCAAGUAGCGUGCAGGAUGACGGCCCUAUGGGUUGUAAACUGCUUUUGUAUGGGGAUAAAGUUAGGGACGUGUCCCUAUUUGCAGGUACCAUACGAAUAAGGACCGGCUAAUUCCGUGCCAGCAGCCGCGGUAAUACGGAAGGUCCAGGCGUUAUCCGGAUUUAUUGGGUUUAAAGGGAGCGUAGGCUGGAGAUUAAGUGUGUUGUGAAAUGUAGACGCUCAACGUCUGAAUUGCAGCGCAUACUGGUUUCCUUGAGUACGCACAACGUUGGCGGAAUUCGUCGUGUAGCGGUGAAAUGCUUAGAUAUGACGAAGAACUCCGAUUGCGAAGGCAGCUGACGGGAGCGCAACUGACGCUUAAGCUCGAAGGUGCGGGUAUCAAACAGGAUUAGAUACCCUGGUAGUCCGCACAGUAAACGAUGGAUGCCCGCUGUUGGUACCUGGUAUCAGCGGCUAAGCGAAAGCAUUAAGCAUCCCACCUGGGGAGUACGCCGGCAACGGUG